This 253-nucleotide ribosomal RNA is filed under the name uncultured bacterium. RNAcentral describes it as "partial 16S ribosomal RNA". It matches the Rfam family "Bacterial small subunit ribosomal RNA", at positions 524 to 776 of the family's 1533-position model. The record is from RNAcentral.
UACGUAGGGUGCAAGCGUUGUCCGGAAUUAUUGGGCGUAAAGAGCUCGUAGGCGGUUUGUUGCGUCGGCUGUGAAAUCCCGAGGCUCAACCUCGGGUCUGCAGUCGAUACGAGCAAACUAGAGUGUUGCAGGGGAGACUGGAAUUCCUGGUGUAGCGGUGAAAUGCGCAGAUAUCAGGAGGAACACCGGUGGCGAAGGCGGGUCUCUGGGCCGAUACUGACGCUGAGGAGCGAAAGCGUGGGGAGCGAACAGG